Molecule: long non-coding RNA, 1229 nt
Organism: Mya arenaria
Lineage: Eukaryota; Metazoa; Mollusca; Bivalvia; Myida; Myidae
Exons: 5
Source: RefSeq, a predicted model, not a curated record
AAGACGACAAAUAAGAAUGGUAUUAAGUUGGUAGAAUGGAACUCCUUCCUGAUUCCUGCACAUGUAAGUUACCAGAUACUCUUGAGGGACCAAUUUAAGGGCAAACAGACAAACAUUUUGAUGCAAAGAAAGCAUUGGAUUUGAAAGUUCCCAUGGAGAAGAAAAAUGGAGAGAUUCUAAAAGUAUGAAGAUACUCCUGUGUAUAAUGAGGAAAUCUUGUCAGUGAAUGUUGUUGCAAUUGUGGACCAGGCCAGAGUUGUACUAAACCAACUAAGACACAAUGAGAUACAGGAAUGACACAAUGAGAAACAGGAAACAGGAAAGUGAUGACUGAUCGCCACCUGUUACAAAUUCAUCUAGAAAACUCCCCACAUCCAACAAGAGACAGUCUGACUUCAAAAUCUUCAUUGAAAGCAACUUAAUGGACAAGACAUCCGUCACAUAAAGAUUCACUAAAAUUGGAAUGAUAUACCAAUUUUAACUUUUAACAGACAAAUACAUUAUAGAUUUGAAAAUAGAUUACCCUUAAAUAAGUUGGAUGAUUAACAUUUACCUCAACACAGUACAAAGUGCUCAUGUUGAACUAUUGUGAUUGAUCAUAGUCUGUCCUUCAUUUAUAUUAACAGUUUCAUACAGUGUUAACACUUUAGUAUGGGGACUCAUUUUAGCUCAACUUUUCGAAGAAUAUGGAGAGCUAUACUACUCACCCAAGCGUCGGCGUUGGCGUCACCCCUUGGUUAAGGGUUUGCGUGCAAGCACACAUAGGUAAAUAUCUCAGCAACUACUUGAGGUAUUGCAUUGAGACUUUAUACAAUGGUACUCAACCAUCCAACCUACUUAAUUAACCAAGUUUGAUAACUACUUUGCAUUUAAUGCCAAUAAUAGGCCUUUAAUAUUUGACUUAGAAAUUCUGUUUAAGGUUUUGCAUGCAAGCACACAUAGGUUAAUAUCUCAGCAACUACUUGAGGUAUUGCAUUGAGACUUGAUACAAUGGUACUCAACCAUCCAACCUACUUAUUUAAACAAGUAAGAUAACUCUAGUUUGCAUUUAAUGUAAAUAAUAGGCCUUUAUUAUUUGACUUAGAAAUUCUGGUUAAGGUUUUGCAUGCAAGCACACAUAGGUUAAUAUCUCAGCAACUGCUUGAGGUAUUGCAUUGAGACUUGAUACAAUGGUACUCAACCAUCCAACCUACUUAUUUAAACAAGUAAGAUAACUCUAGUUUGCAUUU